CAGCAGCCGCGGGAAUACGUAGGGUGCAAGCGUUAAUCGGAAUUACUGGGCGUAAAGCGUGCGCAGGCGGUUAUAUAGGUCAGAUGUGAAAUCCCCGGGCCCAACCUGGGAACUGCAUUUGAGACUGUAUGGCUAGAGUGUGUCAGAGGGGGGUAGAAUUCCACGUGUAGCAGUGAAAUGCGUAGAUAUGUGGAGGAAUACCGAUGGCGAAGGCAGCCCCCUGGGAUAACACUGACGCUCAUGCACGAAAGCGUGGGGAGCAAACAGGAUUAGAUACCCGUGAGUCCCUGUCUCUUAUACC
RNAcentral lists this ribosomal RNA (301 nucleotides) under uncultured bacterium. Its description in RNAcentral is "partial 16S ribosomal RNA". It matches the Rfam family "Bacterial small subunit ribosomal RNA", at positions 509 to 808 of the family's 1533-position model. The record is from RNAcentral.